GCCAGGUGUGGUGGCACAUACCUGUAAUCCCCACAUCUUGGGAGGCUGAGGCAGGAGGAUUACAAGUUUGAGGUCAGCCUCAGCAACUUAGUGAGACCUUGUCUCAA
This 107-nucleotide small RNA is filed under the name Marmota monax (woodchuck). Lineage: Eukaryota; Metazoa; Chordata; Mammalia; Rodentia; Sciuridae. The record is from RNAcentral.